This 1376-nucleotide ribosomal RNA is filed under the name Chryseobacterium sp. DL6. Its description in RNAcentral is "bacterial SSU rRNA". It matches the Rfam family "Bacterial small subunit ribosomal RNA". Lineage: Bacteria; Pseudomonadati; Bacteroidota; Flavobacteriia; Flavobacteriales; Weeksellaceae. The record is from RNAcentral.
GCUGAGCGGUAGAGAUCCUUCGGGAUCUUGAGAGCGGCGUACGGGUGCGGAACACUUGUGCAACCUGCCUUUAUCAGAGGGAUAGCCUUUCGAAAGGAAGAUUAAUACCUCAUAAUAUAUUGAUUCGCAUGGAUUGAUAUUGAAAACUCCGGUGGAUAGAGAUGGGCACGCGCAAGAUUAGAUAGUUGGUGAGGUAACGGCUCACCAAGUCGAUGAUCUUUAGGGGGCCUGAGAGGGUGAUCCCCCACACUGGUACUGAGACACGGACCAGACUCCUACGGGAGGCAGCAGUGAGGAAUAUUGGACAAUGGGUUAGCGCCUGAUCCAGCCAUCCCGCGUGAAGGACGACGGCCCUAUGGGUUGUAAACUUCUUUUGUACAGGGAUAAACCUACUCUCGUGAGAGUAGCUGAAGGUACUGUACGAAUAAGCACCGGCUAACUCCGUGCCAGCAGCCGCGGUAAUACGGAGGGUGCAAGCGUUAUCCGGAUUUAUUGGGUUUAAAGGGUCCGUAGGCGGAUCUGUAAGUCAGUGGUGAAAUCUCACAGCUUAACUGUGAAACUGCCAUUGAUACUGCAGGUCUUGAGUAAGGUAGAAGUGGCUGGAAUAAGUAGUGUAGCGGUGAAAUGCAUAGAUAUUACUUAGAACACCAAUUGCGAAGGCAGGUCACUAUGUCUAAACUGACGCUGAUGGACGAAAGCGUGGGGAGCGAACAGGAUUAGAUACCCUGGUAGUCCACGCCGUAAACGAUGCUAACUCGUUUUUGGGUUUUCGGAUUCAGAGACUAAGCGAAAGUGAUAAGUUAGCCACCUGGGGAGUACGUUCGCAAGAAUGAUACUCAAAGGAAUUGACGGGGGCCCGCACAAGCGGUGGAUUAUGUGGUUUAAUUCGAUGAUACGCGAGGAACCUUACCAAGGCUUAAAUGGGAAUUGACAGUUUCAGAAAUGAGAUUUUCUUCGGACAAUUUUCAAGGUGCUGCAUGGUUGUCGUCAGCUCGUGCCGUGAGGUGUUAGGUUAAGUCCUGCAACGAGCGCAACCCCUGUCACUAGUUGCCAUCAUUAAGUUGGGGACUCUAGUGAGACUGCCUACGCAAGUAGAGAGGAAGGUGGGGAUGACGUCAAAUCAUCACGGCCCUUACGCCUUGGGCCACACACGUAAUACAAUGGCAGGUACAGAGGGCAGCUACUAUGCGAAUAGAUGCGUAUCUCGAAAGCCUGUCUCAGUUCGGAUUGGAGUCUGCAACUCGACUCUAUGAAGCUGGAAUCGCUAGUAAUCGCGCAUCAGCCAUGGCGCGGUGAAUACGUUCCCGGGCCUUGUACACGCCGCCCGUCAAGCCAUGGAAGUUUGGGGUACCUGAAGUCGGUGACCGUAACAGGAG